RNAcentral lists this ribosomal RNA (307 nucleotides) under Staphylococcus aureus. RNAcentral describes it as "partial 23S ribosomal RNA". It matches the Rfam family "Bacterial large subunit ribosomal RNA", at positions 607 to 914 of the family's 2925-position model. Lineage: Bacteria; Bacillati; Bacillota; Bacilli; Caryophanales; Staphylococcaceae. The record is from RNAcentral.
UUUGUAGAAUGAACCGGCGAGUUACGAUUUGAUGCAAGGUUAAGCAGUAAAUGUGGAGCCGUAGCGAAAGCGAGUCUGAAUAGGGCGUUUAGUAUUUGGUCGUAGACCCGAAACCAGGUGAUCUACCCUUGGUCAGGUUGAAGUUCAGGUAACACUGAAUGGAGGACCGAACCGACUUACGUUGAAAAGUGAGCGGAUGAACUGAGGGUAGCGGAGAAAUUCCAAUCGAACCUGGAGAUAGCUGGUUCUCUCCGAAAUAGCUUUAGGGCUAGCCUCAAGUGAUGAUUAUUGGAGGUAGAGCACUGUU